GGAGCUGAGCCCGAGUGGCGCAGGCACCUGGCGAGGGCCGGGAGCGUGAAAAGGGCCCGUGCAGCCCGACGCGCAGAGCGGUCGCGGGCGAUGCCACCGCGCCCAGCUUGUGCUUCUUACUGUGCAAAGGAUGCGGUCAGCACGGCUUGGCGAGACCCUGUCUCCAAACGCAGCGGCGGUGCCCGGUCCUCCGGGCUGAGCACUGAACUCAACCCGCAGGACACUCCACGCCAGCGAUACCUCCUCCCAGCGCUGCUGGCCACAAACUCCUGGUCACCUGCUUCAGGGGCCUCUGGGAGUUUGCUGCGGUCUGCCUGGCCGGGUGCAUGUAUAACGUUCACUUACGAGGUGGCAGCCAGCACUUACUGAGCGCCUCUGCACUUCCGGCGUCCUGCUGGCCCUUGACAAACAGCCGUGGGUGGCUCCCGCCAGCUGCUGGGAGUCCUUUCUUCGCUGGUAGCAGCACCACUGUGCAGCCCUGGUGCUGGCUAAGCCUGCCCCACACCUUGUCCUUAACCGGGGUAUGGACAUCAGCACCCCACAGCCGAUGGAGCAACCAGGAGCAUCGGCUGGGAGCCCCUUGACGGGAGCUGGGCGCACAGUGGGGCCUGGCAGAUUCCGGUCAGGGGGCACCCCAUCCUGAAGGCGGGUCCUAGGGUGGUCAGGCUGGGGCAGCACCCAGGCCAGCACAAGCAAGGUGCCGGGCGUUCGAGGACUCAGGACAGGUGGGGAGGCCUGGUCUCCGCUGCAGGCCAAGGCUGCUCCCCGCCCCUCCCAGCGAGCCCGAGGUGCCCUGCUCAUCCUGGGCUGGGAACAGUGAGCCAGCAAAAUUCCCGACAAGCCUGGGCUGGAGAGAACUGGCGAGGCCUCUGCUGAGUCUCAGUCGGUCGGGCCCGAAGCCUGCGGCAGAAAACGAGCCAGGUGUCGCCUGCGUUGUCAGCUUCACCUGCAUGGGGACAUCCCUGGUCAGCUCUCCCUGUGGUCUGCAGGAUCCAGGCAGCUAUGAAAGGGCCGGAAGCAGUGUGAGCCCAGCCGUGCCCAGGGCCCCUCUGCUGGCUUCAAACUCUGCCCCUCCCUGGCUGGGCCGGCUGUGAGCCAGAAUGGAGCUCCUGGUUCCCCAGCUCACCCCCCUCCUCCAGGACAGGACAGGCCCAGGAGACAGGAGGGAAACCGAGGCAUGGGAGCGCAUCCUGUCGUGUCUGCAGUGCUGGAGAGGACGUCACUGUGAGCAGCUCCAAGCGCCAGAGCCUCCGAGGCUCCGGCAGAGCCAGGCUGGUGGUGAGGGCUACAGACCGCCGGCCCAGACUUCAGGAACACACCAUCCCUCUGGGCUGAGACUGCAGGUCUGUGAUCCGGGCAUUCGCAGAGACUGAGAGCAGCGUCCCCACUCUGUCCUGGCCAUCAGCAGCAUCUCAGCCUUCAUGUGUACGGUGUCCCCAGAGUCUGCAGAGACGUCCCUGUGUAUCCGGACACUGGGCAUCAGUCCACAUAACCCAGGCCAGCCUCGAUCUCCCCGGGAUCUUCCUGCCUCAGCCUCCCGAGUGCUACAAUCACAGGCACCACUACGCUGGGCUCCUUUUUCACUGGCUUAUUUUAUAUUAAGAAGGACUGUGAGAAUCUCUCUAGGCGGAUAGUUUCAGUUCUUCUACAGGAGAUGCAGGUGACCCCUGACCUGCAGAGCACCCCCGGGGCCAGGCCAUCAGGGGGACUCCAGAGGGGCCCAAGGCCGCCGCUGACCAGGGCAGACCCAAGUGGGCGUGGUGAAGUCAGCAGUGUGGAUGCUGCCUGGGCUCUGUGUCCCCAGAGGCGCUGAGGGAGCCCUGCAGCCCAGCUCCAUGCCAGCUGGACCCUGGGGCUCCACUGGGCCGGAUGCCACCUGGGCUGGUGGCCCACUGGCCACCUUCCUGAGCCGGGUGCCUCCCCAGCAGCAGAGCUGCCAGCUGGCUCUCUCCGUUCCUCCCCAGGUGAGCUGCUGGAGCAGCCUGUGAGGCCCCUCGCUGAGGCUGUGCACACUGAGACCAGGUCAGCCUGAAGGUUUUACUGAUUUUAUUUUUUAUUCUGAUAUUUUUGCAGUGCUGGGGAUUGAACCCAGGCCCUCUGGCCUGCCCUGCAUCCCCAGCCCUUUCUUUUAAAACAGGGUGCUGCUCAGGCUGGCCUCGAACUUUCAGUCCUCCUGCCUCAGCCUCCCAAGUAGCUGGGAUCACAGGUGUGGCCCCCCCGCCCCAUCUCCCCCCCGGACAUUUUCGGGGGUCACUGGGCUGCUGUGGGAGGCAAGGCUGACUGAGGGCUGAGGGGACCCACCCGGGAUCCCCCAGGGAAGCAGCCUGCGGUGCUGGGUGCCACUCGUGGUGGUGCAGCCCCAGGCGUCUGGGGCAGGACUCAACUCCACACCCAGGGGUCUCUGCUCUGGCUCUCACCGAGGUGCCUGCCCCAGGGCAUCGUGGGAGGGACGGGGUUAAGCAGGGCACACGCCGUGGCCACAGCUGAGCUGGGGAGGGCAGAGGGGUGGGGGCAGGGCUCGCACAGCUGGGCGCCCGCCUGUGGGGGACCCCAAAGCCCAGGCAGCUGGCCAGGGGGGAUCCCAGAUUCCCAGGAGAUGAGGUCACCCGGCCUCCACCAAUCAGGCCUCCCAGCACCAAGAAAGGGUUUUUCCCGGCCAGGAAUGCAGAGGUUUCCAUGGCCAAGGAGGGAGGAGCCCUGGGCCCCGCCAGAGACCGGCAGCCCAGCCUGGCUGGAGAGACGGAUGCUGGGCAGCCAGGAGGGGGAGGCGGGGUGGGGACAGACACGUCCGCAUUGUCUGGUGGCCAGGACACCGGACCGGGGAGGCCAGCGGCUCUGCCACCCCAGGCCUGGCCACGUGGGCUUUUCUUUUCUUAGGAAAGGUAAAAAGCAGGCUCUGCUUAAAUUCUUUCAACCCCAGAUGGACGAUUUUCCCAAUAAACUAGGACGUGGCAGCCAAUAAUCGCUGCACUUGGGAGGCUGAGGCGGGAGGAUCGCUGUGAGUUUGUGAAUAUCCUGGGCUACAUAGCAAGAUUUUGUCUCAAAAAAAUAAAAUAAAAU
Heterocephalus glaber (naked mole-rat) is the source of this 3060-nucleotide long non-coding RNA. The record is from Ensembl. NCBI's taxonomy places the organism in Eukaryota, Metazoa, Chordata, Mammalia, Rodentia, Bathyergidae.